This 19-nucleotide small nuclear RNA is filed under the name Arabidopsis thaliana (thale cress). RNAcentral describes it as "snRNA_10094". The record is from RNAcentral. Lineage: Eukaryota; Viridiplantae; Streptophyta; Magnoliopsida; Brassicales; Brassicaceae.
CGCAGUUUCCUCGCAAUUG